AACCUGGUGGCUCAGAUGGUAAAGCGUCUGCCUGUAAUGCGGGAGAACUGGGUUCGACCCCUGGGUUG
This 68-nucleotide transfer RNA is filed under the name Bos taurus (domestic cattle). It matches the Rfam family "tRNA". From Rfam's summary of the family: Transfer RNA (tRNA) molecules are approximately 80 nucleotides in length. Their secondary structure includes four short double-helical elements and three loops (D, anti-codon, and T loops). The record is from Rfam by way of RNAcentral. RNAcentral also lists the same sequence under 5 other names. Lineage: Eukaryota; Metazoa; Chordata; Mammalia; Artiodactyla; Bovidae.